GUCCCUUCGGGGACAUCCGAUAAAAUUGGAACGAUAAAGAAAAGAUUAGCAUGGCCCCUGGGCAAGGAUGACACGCACAAAUCAAGAAAUGGUCCAUAAUUUU
This 103-nucleotide small nuclear RNA is filed under the name Triticum dicoccoides. The record is from RNAcentral. Lineage: Eukaryota; Viridiplantae; Streptophyta; Magnoliopsida; Poales; Poaceae.